CCUACGGGAGGUAGCAGUGAGGAAUAUUGGUCAAUGGGCGGAAGCCUGAACCAGCCAAGUAGCGUGCGGGAUGAAGGCCCUACGGGUGGUAAACCGCUUUUGCCCGGGGAUAACACCCUCCACUUGUGGAGGCCUGCAGGUACCGUGCGAAUAAGGGCCGGCUAAUUCCGUGCCAGCAGCCGCGGUAAUACGGAAGUCCCGAGCGUUAUCCGGAUUCAUUGGGCUAAAAGGGAGCGUAGGCGGGCGUUCAAGUCAGCUGUAAAAUCGCGCGGCUCAACCGCGCCCCGCAGUUGAAACUGGACGCAUUGAGUUCACAACAGGCAGGCGGAAUUCGUGGUGUAGCGGUGAAAUGCAUAGAUAUCACGAGGAACCCCGAUUGCGAAGGCAGCCUGCCGGGGUGCGACUGACGCUGAGGCUCGAAGGUGCGGGUAUCAAACAGGAUUAGAUACCCUAGUAGUC
RNAcentral lists this ribosomal RNA (459 nucleotides) under uncultured bacterium. RNAcentral describes it as "partial 16S ribosomal RNA". It matches the Rfam family "Bacterial small subunit ribosomal RNA", at positions 338 to 795 of the family's 1533-position model. The record is from RNAcentral.